Saccostrea cuccullata (small rock oyster) is the source of this 613-nucleotide long non-coding RNA. RefSeq lists it as uncharacterized. The transcript is spliced from 4 exons. The record is from RefSeq and is a predicted model, not a curated record. NCBI's taxonomy places the organism in Eukaryota, Metazoa, Mollusca, Bivalvia, Ostreida, Ostreidae.
AAAUACCAUAGACUUACCUAUGCAUUGUGACGUCAUAAGCUUGGCAGCGACGUCAUGUUAGUCCUUCACAAGCCGCGAUGGCUGCUUAUUUUGACACAAUAACACAGACUUUCACAGCGCUUGAGACUUCAUGUAAUAACAGUAUGGUCCUAUGGAUUUCAGUACCAAAACUGAUUUUCUACCGUUUUUCUUCCAAGAAAGUUCUGAACAGCUGAAUCCUGGAUCAGCCUAGAUGUUAUUUCACUGGAUUAUUUAAUGAAUAUUACUCUACUGAGUUACCUGGUUACAUGGAUCAGCUAAGAUGUUGUUUCACUGGAUUAUUUAAUUGGGCAUAUAAUUGGAUAAUUCUGUCCUCAACCUGGAAGAUAUGUUUUGUUCCUAACCAUCUAUAAUCCAUUCUCUAUGAAGUUCAGCCUGUCUGCCCAAAUUCCUUUGGAAAUACAUAGUUAGUCAACCAACAUAGAAACAAUCAAACUUGAAGUCCUCAACCUGGAAGAUAUGUUUUAUUCCUAACCAUCUAUAAUCCAUUCUCUAUGAAGUUCAGCCUGUCUGCCCAAAUUCCUUUGGAAAUACAUACUUAGUCAACCAACAUAGAAACAAUCAAACUUGAAGU